This 494-nucleotide ribosomal RNA is filed under the name uncultured bacterium. RNAcentral describes it as "partial 16S ribosomal RNA". It matches the Rfam family "Bacterial small subunit ribosomal RNA", at positions 28 to 507 of the family's 1533-position model. The record is from RNAcentral.
GACGAACGCUGGCGGCGUGCUUAACACAUGCAAGUCGAACGGAAAGGCCUGUCCUUCCUUGUGUUGGACGGGUACUCGAGUGGCGAACGGGUGAGUAACACGUGAGUGAUCUGCCCCCAACUUGGGUAUAAGCCUGGGAAACUGGGUCUAAUUCCCGAUAGGACUGCAGGGUGGUGCCUGUGGUGGAAAACGAUUUUCUAGUGGUUGGGGAUGAGCUCGCGGCCUAUCAGCUUGUUGGUGGGGUAAUGGCCUACCAAGGCGGCGACGGGUAGCCGGCCUGAGAGGGUGGACGGCCACAUUGGGACUGAGAGACGGCCCAGACUCCUACGGGAGGCAGCAGUGGGGAAUAUUGCACAAUGGGCGGAAGCCUGAUGCAGCGACGCCGCGUGGGGGAUGACGGCCUUCGGGUUGUAAACUCCUUUCGACCGCGAGGAAGCCGCCUGGUUGGAAGGGUGGUGACGGUAGUGGUAGAAGAAGCACUGGCUAACUACGUG